Molecule: ribosomal RNA, 253 nt
Filed under: uncultured bacterium
Lineage: Bacteria
Description: partial 16S ribosomal RNA
Rfam family: Bacterial small subunit ribosomal RNA
Source: RNAcentral
UACGGGGGGGGCAAGCGUUGUUCGGAAUUACUGGGCGUAAAGGGCUUGUAGGUGGCCAACUAAGUCAGACGUGAAAUCCCUCGGCUUAACCGGGGAACUGCGUCUGAUACUGGAUGGCUUGAGAUUGGGAGAGGGAUGCGGAAUUCCAGGUGUAGUGGUGAAAUGCGUAGAUAUCUGGAGGAACACCGGUGGCGAAGGCGGCAUCCUGGACCAACACUGACACUGAGGAGCGAAAGCCAGGGGAGCAAACGGG